This 775-nucleotide ribosomal RNA is filed under the name uncultured Neocallimastigales. Its description in RNAcentral is "partial large subunit ribosomal RNA". It matches the Rfam family "Eukaryotic large subunit ribosomal RNA", at positions 23 to 634 of the family's 3401-position model. The record is from RNAcentral. Lineage: Eukaryota; Fungi; Neocallimastigomycota; Neocallimastigomycetes; Neocallimastigales.
AGAGAGAGACAUGCGCGCAUAUCAAUAAGCGGAGGAAAAGAAACUAACAAGGAUUCCCUUAGUAACGGCGAGUGAAGCGGGAAGAGCUCAAAUUUGAAAUCUUCAAGGUUUUACCUUGACGAAUUGUAGUUUAAAGAAGUGUUUUCUGCUGAAGUUUUGGUAAAAGUUCUUUGGAAUAGGACAUCAUAGAGGGUGAGAAUCCCGUAUUUGACCAUUAUUUUCAGCUUUGUGAUACACUUUCAAAGAGUCAGGAUUGUUUGGGAAUGCAGUCCAAAAUGGGUGGUAAAUUUCAUCUAAAGCUAAAUAUUGGCGAGAGACCGAUAGCGAACAAGUACCGUGAGGGAAAGAUGAAAAGAACUUUGAAAAGAGAGUUAAACAGUACGUGAAAUUGUCAAAAGGGAAGCGUUUGACACCAGUGUUGUUUUCUCGAAAAUCAAUUAAAAAUGGCUCGAUUUUGUAUUGCUGAGACCUUAAAAGCUCACUGUACAUUUUUCGUGUCUUUUUUAAUGCACUUUUCGUUUAACAAGUCAACAUCAGUUUCUUUUGUUGUAAAAGGGUCAUUGGAAGGUGGCUUUCUUUUCGGAGAAAGUGUUUAUAGCCUUUGGCCUCUGCAAUCGAAGAGACUGAGGUCUGCAGCGUAGACUCUUCGGGGUUAGAUACAUUUGUGCUAAGUUAUAGCUUUUUAUAGACAACUUGUUGACUAUAAUUAGUCUUGUAGCUUACUCGCUUAUGCUAUUUUACCUACGCUUAGGAUGUUGAAGAUGUAGCACAUCAU